GACGAACGCUGGCGGCGUGCUUAACACAUGCAAGUCGAACGGUAAGGCCUUUCGGGGUACACGAGUGGCGAACGGGUGAGUAACACGUGGGUGAUCUGCCCUGCACUCUGGGAUAAGCCUGGGAAACUGGGUCUAAUACUGGAUAGGACCGCAUGCUGCAUGGUGUGUGGUGGAAAGUUUUUCGGUGCAGGAUGGGCCCGCGGCCUAUCAGUUUGUUGGUGGGGUAAUGGCCUACCAAGGCGACGACGGGUAGCCGGCCUGAGAGGGCGACCGGCCACACUGGGACUGAGACACGGCCCAGACUCCUACGGGAGGCAGCAGUGGGGAAUAUUGCACAAUGGGCGCAAGCCUGAUGCAGCGACGCCGCGUGAGGGAUGACGGCCUUCGGGUUGUAAACCUCUUUCAGUAGGGACGAAGCGUGAGUGACGGUACCUACAGAAGAAGCACCGGCCAACUACGUGCCAGCAGCCGCCGUAACAC
This 480-nucleotide ribosomal RNA is filed under the name uncultured bacterium. Its description in RNAcentral is "bacterial SSU rRNA". It matches the Rfam family "Bacterial small subunit ribosomal RNA", at positions 28 to 526 of the family's 1533-position model. The record is from RNAcentral.